Molecule: ribosomal RNA, 846 nt
Filed under: Ganula gadirana
Lineage: Eukaryota; Metazoa; Mollusca; Gastropoda; Stylommatophora; Hygromiidae
Description: partial 16S ribosomal RNA
Source: RNAcentral
AUUAUUAUGAUAAAUUAAAAUUUUAAUUUCCCGAAGCCGGGCGAGCUAAAAAAAAAUUACUACUAGUUUAUAAAUUAAAUGUAGCAUUAUUUAACUAUUAUUUUUUUUUAGGGGUGAUAGGCCUUUCAAGCUAGGCGAUAUCUGGAUAAUUAGGAAAAAUAUUUAGUAUAUUUAUAAUUUAGAAAUGGUGAGGUUUCUAAAAAGAAUUAUUAAAAAUUAAUAUUUAAUUAAGUGGAUAAAUCCUUAAAUUUUAAUUAGACUAAUAUAUUAUAUAUUGAGAAUAUUUUCUUUACUAGUUUUUUUUCAAAAUUAUUUAUAAAAUUAAAAUUGUAUAUAUUAGUAUGUUAUUUAUAUUUUUAAAAGGAACUCGACAAAAAAUUUCUGGACUGUUUACCAAAAACAUAGCCCCAAGAAAUUAUUUUGGGUAAAUCCUGCUCAAUGAAAAUUUAAAUAGCCGCAGUACCUUGACUGUGCAAAGGUAGCAUAAUCAAUUGGCUUAUAAUUGAAGUCUGGAAUGAAUGGAUUUACUGGAAAUAAUUGUCUAUUAAAAAUAAAAGAAAUUACUUAAUAAGUGAAAAUUCUUAUAUAUAUAUAAAAGACGAGAAGACCCUAGAAAUUUUUUAAAAAUUUCCUAUAAUUAUUUUGUUGGGGCGACAAGGUAACAAGUAACUUACAUAUUUUAAUUGGAAUUUUAUUUAAAGAAUAAAUAAAUUACUCUAGGGAUAACAGCAUUAUUUUUUUAAAAGGUUGUGACCUCGAUGUUGGACUAGGAAAACUUUUAUUUAGAAGAUAAAAAUAUAGGCUCUGUUCGAGCUAUUUCUCCUACAUGAUCUGAGUUCAGACCGG